GCCUGGGUGGCUCAGUCGGUUAAGCGUCUGACUUUGGCUCAGGUUAUGAUCUCAUGGCUCGUGGGUUCGAGCCCCGUGUCGGGCU
Molecule: transfer RNA, 85 nt
Filed under: Felis catus (domestic cat)
Lineage: Eukaryota; Metazoa; Chordata; Mammalia; Carnivora; Felidae
Rfam family: tRNA
About the family: Transfer RNA (tRNA) molecules are approximately 80 nucleotides in length. Their secondary structure includes four short double-helical elements and three loops (D, anti-codon, and T loops). Further hydrogen bonds mediate the characteristic L-shaped molecular structure. tRNAs have two regions of fundamental functional importance: the anti-codon, which is responsible for specific mRNA codon recognition, and the 3' end, to which the tRNAs corresponding amino acid is attached (by aminoacyl-tRNA synthetases). tRNAs cope with the degeneracy of the genetic code in two manners: having more than one tRNA (with a specific anti-codon) for a particular amino acid; and 'wobble' base-pairing, i.e. permitting non-standard base-pairing at the 3rd anti-codon position.
Source: Rfam by way of RNAcentral